Molecule: ribosomal RNA, 433 nt
Filed under: uncultured bacterium
Lineage: Bacteria
Description: SSU rRNA
Rfam family: Bacterial small subunit ribosomal RNA
Source: RNAcentral
CAAUGGGCGCAGCCUGAUGCAGCGACGCCGCGUGCGGGAUGACGGCCUUCUUNUNUNGUAAACCGGGNNAAGACUGGGAGCAAGCCCUUCGGGGUGAGUUNACCUUUCGAAUAAGCACCGGCUAACUACGUGCCAGCAGCCGCGGUAAUACGUAGGGUGCAAGCGUUAUCCGGAAUUAUUGGGCGUAAAGGGCUCGUAGGCGGUUCGUCGCGUCCGGUGUGAAAGUCCAUCGCUUAACGGUGGAUCCGCGCCGGGUACGGGCGGGCUUGAGUGCGGUAGGGGAGACUGGAAUUCCCGGUGUAACGGUGGAAUGUGUAGAUAUCGGGAAGAACACCAAUGGCGAAGGCAGGUCUCUGGGCCGUCACUGACGCUGAGGAGCGAAAGCGUGGGGAGCGAACAGGAUUAGAUACCCUGGUAGUCCAAGGGCGAAUUC